This 95-nucleotide transfer RNA is filed under the name Clostridiales bacterium. Its description in RNAcentral is "tRNA-Ser". It matches the Rfam family "tRNA". Rfam says of the family: Transfer RNA (tRNA) molecules are approximately 80 nucleotides in length. Lineage: Bacteria; Bacillati; Bacillota; Clostridia; Eubacteriales. The record is from RNAcentral.
GGAAGCGUAUCGAAGAGGUCAUAACGGCCCCGACUCGAAAUCGGGUAAACCGGCGAGUAACCGGUCCGUGGGUUCGAAUCCCACCGCUUCCGCCA